CCUACGGGGGGCAGCAGUGGGGAAUAUUGGACAAUGGGCGAAAGCCUGAUCCAGCCAUGCCGCGUGUGUGAAGAAGGCCUUCGGGUUGUAAAGCACUUUCAGUGGGGAAGAAAGCCUUGGGGCUAAUACCCUCGAGGAAGGACAUCACCCACAGAAGAAGCACCGGCUAACUCCGUGCCAGCAGCCGCGGUAAUACGGAGGGUGCGAGCGUUAAUCGGAAUUACAGGGCGUAAAGCGCGCGUAGGCGGUCUGAUAAGCCGGUUGUGAAAGCCCCGGGCUCAACCUGGGAACGGCAUCCGGAACUGUCAGGCUAGAGUGCAGGAGAGGAAGGUAGAAUUCCCGGUGUAGCGGUGAAAUGCGUAGAGAUCGGGAGGAAUACCAGUGGCGAAGGCGGCCUUCUGGACUGACACUGACGCUGAGGUGCGAAAGCGUGGGUAGCAAACAGGAUUAGAUACCCGAGUAGUC
This 465-nucleotide ribosomal RNA is filed under the name Vreelandella stevensii. Its description in RNAcentral is "partial 16S ribosomal RNA". It matches the Rfam family "Bacterial small subunit ribosomal RNA", at positions 338 to 795 of the family's 1533-position model. The record is from RNAcentral. Lineage: Bacteria; Pseudomonadati; Pseudomonadota; Gammaproteobacteria; Oceanospirillales; Halomonadaceae.